GGCUGGUCAGAAGGCAGUGAGUUAUCUCAAGUGACUGUUCACAGUCAGUCACAGAUUGAACUCCUUGUGCUACUCUUUUCCCCUUCUCACUACUGCACUUGACUAGUCAAAA
Molecule: Y RNA, 112 nt
Filed under: Prolemur simus (greater bamboo lemur)
Lineage: Eukaryota; Metazoa; Chordata; Mammalia; Primates; Lemuridae
Description: Y RNA (ENSPSMG00000023665.1)
Rfam family: Y RNA
About the family: Y RNAs are components of the Ro ribonucleoprotein particle (Ro RNP), in association with Ro60 and La proteins. The Y RNAs and Ro60 and La proteins are well conserved, but the function of the Ro RNP is not known. In humans the RNA component can be one of four small RNAs -- hY1, hY3, hY4 and hY5.
Source: Rfam by way of RNAcentral